GAUUUCAAGUCUUCCAACAACUCUUUUUGGGUGGGAGUAGUCAGGAGUCUGUGCUGUGGUUGAAGCCCAGGUUGGCCGUCGGGAGCUGAAAUAGAGGCCAGGACUCCUGGCUCCCCGUCCAGACUCUGAGGACCCAGGAGCCUCCAUGGGUACACUCAGAGGCCACACUAGAUGCAAAAAGAACCAUUUACAGAGAAGUGAGAGGUUCUCAAAGGCUCAACCAAAUGCCUCUGCCAGGAGAAUCUUUCAGAGUGUCCUGGAACAUUGGAAAUAGGCUUAAAGCUUAAAUGAUGAAUCAGAAGAGUUAUGCUGUAUUCUAAUGCUGCCACUAGAUUUCCAUUUGAUUUCAGUGGACUUUGAAGAUGGAUCACCUCUCUCAUUCAGAUGAAAUU
Molecule: long non-coding RNA, 392 nt
Filed under: Homo sapiens (human)
Lineage: Eukaryota; Metazoa; Chordata; Mammalia; Primates; Hominidae
Description: non-protein coding FRMD6-AS2:4
Source: RNAcentral